Molecule: ribosomal RNA, 803 nt
Filed under: Chloropicon mariensis
Lineage: Eukaryota; Viridiplantae; Chlorophyta; Chloropicophyceae; Chloropicales; Chloropicaceae
Description: partial Bacterial large subunit ribosomal RNA
Rfam family: Bacterial large subunit ribosomal RNA
Source: RNAcentral
UGGCGAGGUUAACCGAAUAGGGGAGCCGUAGAGAAAUCGAGUCCGAACAGGGCGACAGUCGCUGGGUGUAGACCCGAAACCAAGUGAUCUACCCAUGGCCAGGAUGAAGGUGCGGUAACACGCCCUGGAGGUCCGAACCCACUAAUGUUGAAAAAUUAGGGGAUGAGCUGUGGGUAGGGGUGAAAGGCCAAUCAAACUCCGUGAUAGCUGGUUCUCCCCGAAAUGCAUUUAGGUGCAGCGUCGCGUGUUUCUUGCCGGAGGUAGAGCUACUGGAUGGCCGAUGGGCCCUACAAGGUUACUGACGUCAGCCAAACUCCGAAUGCCGGUAAGUGAGAGCGCAGCAGUGAGACUGCGGGGGAUAAGCUUCGUAGUCGAGAGGGAAACAGCCCAGAUCAUCAGCUAAGGCCCCUAAGCGUGUGCUAAGUGGGAAAGGAUGUGGAGUUGCUGAGACAACCAGGAGGUUGGCUUAGAAGCAGCCAUCCUUGAAAGAGUGCGUAAUAGCUCACUGGUCGAGAGGCCUUGCGCCGAAGAUGUCCGGGGCUCAAGUACAGAACCGAAGUCGCGGCAGGAUUUAUAAUUCUGGGUAGGGGAGCGUUGUAUAUCCGACUGAAGGUGUACCGGAAGGAGCGCUGGAGGAUAUACAAGAGAGAAUGCCGGUAUGAGUAGCGAAAAGAACAGUGAGAAUCUGUUCCACCGAAAGCCUAAGGUUUCCUGAGCAACGCUCGUCGACUCAGGGUAAGUCGGGACCUAAGCCGAGGCAAAAAGCAUAGGCGAUGGACAACAGGUUAAUAUUCCUGUACCGC